CCUCCCAGCGCCUUCCUUUAAAGUGGGGAGAAACUGGCUUCUCUGUUCAUUUCACUUCACAUCUGCUGCUCUUCCUGGUUUCAACUCUGUGGAACAAGAUUCCCCCAUGCCAGUUUCUAAACUGUUCUGUUUAAGACAAGAUGAUAUUUUAAUCUCUACUAUCAAUUCUAAGAAUAUAGAAUGCAAAAGGAAAAGCACAUUUGGGAAAUAAAUGAAGUGGUAAUAGAGGGACAAAAAUGAGAUUUCUCUUUAUGGAUCAUGGUUUAAAACAAAAGAAUAAUGGACUUUUGGCAUGGCAUAUACCCAAUGAAGGAGAAACAGAAAUCCAAGAACCUGGAGACAGAGAACAUUUGGGUGAAGAUGAACACAAGUAGAAGCUGAAGUGGUGCCAUUGUCUAGUGUACUACAGACCACCUUGACGAAGGAGGAGUGAGCCAAGUUUGGGAAUGGCAUUACCAACCUGGCAUCAAGUAUGCUGUUGUGGUGAUGGGAUACAUCAACUGUUUGACUAUUCCUUGCUUCAGCAGGAGGAGUAAAUAACAAAGGGAAACGCUAUUCCAGACCUGAGCUUAUCAAUAAGGAGGAACUGACUGUUGAACAUAUGAACCUUGGGGGGUCAAGGGACUAAUGUAUCAAUAAGAAAGAGAAGAAGGGAAACUGGGCAGCGACUAACAUGUACCCCAGAUUUGGGGACAGCAGAUUUCAAAGGCUUCAGAGAUAGGGUAGUUAAGAGUCAGUGGAGUAAUAUUUCGCAGGGGAAAUUGACCAUAGGGGGAUAGGAAACUCUCAUGAAAAGUAGGAAAACUUCUCUUUUGAAGGCAUGAGCACAAAUGAUUCCAAUAAGCAGGAUGAGGGGUAGCUGUGAUAUAGACACAAAGAGAACACACUGAUAAAAUCAGAAUUUCAAACACAUUUAUUCAACAUAGAAGGGAAAUAAUUGAGGAUGGACCUAGGGUGGUUAAGAUGACUCAGGGGAUAGAGGCCAGGCCUGGAGACAGGAGGUCCUGGGUUCAAAUGUGGUCUCAGAUACUUCCUUGUUGUAUAGGCAAGUCAUUUAACUCCAAUGACCUAAUAAUCCUUACCACUCUUCUGCCUUGGAACCAAGAGGUUCUAAAAUAGAAGGUAAGGGUUUAUUUUAAAAAAAAAAAGUCAAGAUUGCUAAAACUCAGAAUGAGCCAAGACUGGAGAGAAAAAUAGGUAGUAAAAAAAAAAACCCAAACAAACUGUUUUUAUUUCUUUAGGUGAAGAGAAAUUAAAAAAAAAAAGCUUAGAAUGGUGAUGAUGAUAAGAUGAUGAUAACGGACAAUAUAAUAAGAAGGUUGACCUAUACAACCUUUAUUUUAUUUGUUUUCUCUGCCAAGGAGAAUGGGAUAGAACAAAAAGAGAAUAGAGAGCCAAGAUGAAUGUGGAGAAAGUUGGUCAACAUCUAGCUGCCUUCCAUGAAUUCAGUUUGCUGGGCCCAGAUUUAGCACACAUUUUGGAGUAAAGAGCCAGCAGAGAUGUUUACUGAGUCAAUGUCAGCAAUAUUUCAAAGAGUUAUAGAUUUAGAACUGGAAGUAAUUUAGUCCAACUGCUUCAUUUUGUGAAUUGGGAAACAGCAUGGAGAGACUUUCCCAGGAUCAUACACCUAGUAAAUGUCUGCAGUCGUUUUUGAACCUAGGUCCUCUGACUCCAAAUGCUGUGCUCUUUCCCCCUAGCUCUUCUGCCUUAUAAAUGGUGCUUAAUAUUGAUUCUAAGACAGAAGGAAAGGGUUUAAAAAUAAAAUAAAAUAUCCUAAAGGUUGUGUCACUUUUUAAACAAGGAAGCAGGUGGAGUUUACAAAUAAUACUUUACAGAUUUUGUUUUUUGGUGUAGAGAACUCUUCCCUUCUUAUGCAGAUGGACAACUAAUUUGCAAUCAGAUAGUCUUAGGGCAUUAGUUGGGGCAUUAAGUUAAGUAACUUGCUCCAACUAGAGUAUAUCUGAGACAGGACUUAUUUCUUACAUUUAUUCAUUACAUCAUGCUGGUUUUGACCUAGAUUUUUAUUGCAGGCAGAAUUCUUUGGAACAUUAUUAAAGUGAUGGUUUGUGGGUACUUACAAAGGGAAGUGUUGAUCAUUAAAUCUUAGCAUUGCUUCUAAUCAUGCCAGACUAAACUCAUUUUCAUUUUUGACUGGUUUACUAGACUGGUAGAUUGGAAAAAUUCUGUAGACACGGCAUACCUAAUAUUCUAUGCUAGACUUUGAUUUCAGGCAAGUAGGGUUAUAGAAUCAUAGAUUUAGAACUAGAAAGGACAUUAGAGGUCAUCUAGUCCAAUCUAUAUAUCAUAGAUGAGAAAACUAAGUGUAGCUAUCUGCAGCCACAAAUUAAUAUCUUCAUGGGUGGACACCUGAGGAGGAAAGUUAGAAACUGAGGGAAAGUGGGUGAAGGGGAUGGAGAGAGAGAGGAAACACAACAAAGGAAGAAAGACUCAGAGACAAAGAGUUCAAUGACAUGGGCUCCAGCGUGCAUGCUCUUCUGAUGAUAGAAAAGAGAGAGAAAGAGAGCUACACGUGUCCCCAAUCUUUUAUUGGAGAAUCAAAGAAUGGGGAAUGGGAGGAACAUGUAACAUGGCAUAUAAUUUUACAUUGACUCAAUUGACAACUACAAGAUCAAAGAGGAGGAGGUUAAUCAAAUAUGUGACUUGGUGAGGAAUCUGGUCUGCCAAGGUAGGAACUAGGACCCUGUGGCAGCUAAUGUCCUACCCAGGAAUUCUCUUGACCUUUGGACUGUAGGUUUGGAGAGUGGUCAGAAUUAAUAGAGUACCAAUUAAAUACAAUGAUCAAGAAAUAAUGAUUAUGAAUCUGGUACAUGAGCACAUAGGUUACAAUAUUGAUAUAUUCUAAUCUUAAAAGUGUUAUUGAUAUAUCUAUGAUGCCAUACUAAGGCCCAUGACCCAAGUCAUAAGUGAUUUGAAGUGAUUUAUCCAAGGUCCCCCAGAUAAUAAGUAGUAGAGCCCAGAUUUUAACUUCAUUCUUCUAACUCCAAAUUCAGGAUUCUUUCCACUAUGCCAAGCUGCCAAAGUCUAUCAUUAUGUUUGUUGACAAGAUGGGAAGGCAUGGGCUAGGUGAUAGGGUAGGUGGAUUUUGAUCUGGAUAAAUGUCCAGCUCCAUAGAAGUAUCAUUACUAAGCUGAUGCUAUUUUGGAGAGAGGUCUCUAGUGGAAUGUCCCCAGGAUCUCUACUAGGUCUUGUACAAUUCAGUAUUUUCAUCAAUGACUUGGAUAAAGCCAUAGAUAACCUGCUUAUUAAAUGUGUAGGUGAUCUGCAAGUGGAAACACAUAGCUAACAUAUGGGAUGGUGGAAUCUGAAUUUAAGACAUUUUGAUGAGCCAGGACUUUGGGUCAAAUUGCAAAAGCUGAAAAUAAGGACAAAUGGAAAGUUCUGUAUUUGGGUUCUGGAAAUCAACUCCCCCAAUACAGAAUGUACUAAAAGAUGUUUUCUCUGUGAUUUAAAAAAAUAUCUUUAGUCCUGAAUAUUUAUAUGCUGUUGACCACUAGUAGUCAAACUAGUGACAUGAAGCACACUAAGAUGGAAAGCUUGGGUAAUCACGUGGAAUUUAAACAAAUUUCCAAGCCAUGCCCCUGUUCCUACAUAUUUAGAGAAGGCUGAUCAAGGAAGGGAAUUUCCUUCCCACUGGUCAAAAACCACAGGAAGUAAUAACUUAAGGGGGGCAGUAUAGCCUGUGAAAUGCACAGCCACCAGCCACAUCUGUGCUGUGUUCAUGUUUGAAUGUUGUUGCCCCUUUCCCUCCCCCAAGGGCUGAGAACUGGGAAGGAAGGACUUUGGAACUCAUUGCUCUAGUGCCUUUAGGGAUAGGUGGCUUACUUUAGGAGGCUGUGGUAGGAAAAAAAAAAGCAACAAGAACUCCUACCUCCUUUUCACUUUCCCAUCCUUCCCCUGUGAUUUGUGCUUCUAUGAAGGGAUGCACACUAGACAUGCACUGAUACUGAUACCUACUCAUGCAGAUAGACUUAGACACAGUGGCAUACAGAUACAUAGACAACCUUACCACAUACCCUUACAUCUAGACACAUACACAAACUAUACACACAUCUACACACACAUCAGCAGAAUAGACAGGGCUGUCUUGGGCUCAUUUUCAAGGCUUCUUCCUAGUAGAGAUGUUCUUAACUUUUGGAGGAGUCUCACCUUUUUUCUGCAGUAAGUUUUGCCUGGCCUUGACAAAUGCCAGGAUAUCAGUGUCUGUUUGUCUGUCUCCAGUGAAAGGGAUGGAUGAAGAAGGCCUUCCUAGGAACCUGAAAUAAUGAUGUCACAUAUUACAUAAGGUAAACAUUUGACAUCUGUAUAAUGCUUUUAACUUUUCAAAAUGCUUUUAUAUCUGUCAUCUCAUCUACAGGGGAGUCCUCUGGGGUCAUGGUAAGAGCUGUGAAUUUACAACCAGAGGACCUGUGCUCAAAUCUUCUCAGCUCCACUGUGAAUUCUCUGUGUGACUUUCAGUGAGUCACUUAAGCCUUUCUGAACUUCAGCUUCCUUAUUAAAAAACAAACCCACCAUUAUUUUCUAUCUUAGUAACAACUGUAAUAAUUCUAAGACAGAAAGGCAAGGACUAGGCGGAUAGGGUUAAGUGACUUGCCCAGGGACACAUGGCUAGGAAGUGUGUGAGGCCAGAUUGGAACCCAUGUCCUCCUGAUAUCAGGCCUAGCACCCUAUCUACUGAGCCACCUAGCUGUCUUGUCAUUUGUAAAGACAAGAUGUAUUAGAUAACCUCUAAGGUUCCUUUCAGCUUUAAAUAUUUCAUUUGCUACUAGCAGCAUUGCUUAUAUUGGACUCCACCAUUAUCUGACCUCUUCCUUCUCCCCAAACCCUCCUCUCCCUUGGGGACCCCUUCUACCUCCCUCAGUUCAUUACCAGGAAACUCAUCAUCAGGGAGACUAUCAGUUUUAGCACUCGGACCUCAUUUGUCUCUUUUCCUUUGAUUGGAGGGCUAGAAAGUGGAGCAAAAAUGCCUCCCCAAACUUGUAUUUGAAAAGGGCUUUGAAGCCUCCCCACUAUUUUAUUUUUAUUUUUUAUUUUCCACCCAACCUACCUGUACUACUUGGAUUUGACUCUACUAUCAUGUCGCCUCUGCCCCAGUCCGGCACUUCCUCUCAAUCAUUCCCUAUACCUACCGCCUUUUCAGUUUCCUUUUUUGGACUGUUUUCUUCCAUUAUAUUGUAAAGUCCUUGAAAGUCGAGACUCUUUUCCUUAUUUGUAUACCUGGUCCUUAUAACAGCUCCUGAUAUACAGUAGGUGCUUAAUAAAUGUUUGUUAUAUCACGAGAUCCCAAAAUAUGUGAUUGGCCAGACUUCCCAAUGUCUUUCUCACCCCUCUGGUUGUGUUUUUCAACCUUGGUCUCUUAAACCAAUGGAGAUUGCAGGUUGAAGACUUAUGCAAGGGAACGAUGGUCAGGGGCAGUCAGGUAGUACAGUGGAUAGAGAGCUAGGCUUGGAGUCCAGGGGACCUGGGUUCCAAUGUGGCCUCAGACAUCUCAAGUACCCAGCCCUUACUGCUCUUCCAUAUUGGAAUUGAUACUUAGUAAAGGUUUUUUAUAUUUUUGUUUUUCUGUUUUUUUUUAAAGGAAAAUCAUUGUUCUGGGACUGAGGAGGAAUGCUCAGCACAUACAGUGUGAUAGGCAGGAAUAUUUAUGCUCUUAGAACUGGGACAAACAGCUUUUUAAAGUUGUGACACUUUUUCAUUUGAUUUUUUCCAACACUCAACUGAUGGUAUUCUCUACUUAGAACAGUAAUAAUAGCAAACAUUUACAUAUCACUUUAAGGUUUGCAAAGCACUUUACACAUGUUAUGUCAUUUGGUCUUCACAACCAUCCUGGGAGAUAGGUGCCCCAUUUUUGCCCCCAUUUUGCAGUUGGGGAAACUGAGGCUGAGAGUAGUUAAGUGAUUUGCCCAGGGCCACACAGCUAGUAAGUGUCUGAGGCCAGAUUUGAACUCAAAUCUUAACACCAAAUCUUAGCACUCUGUGUGCUACAUAAUGGGUAUCUUACUUUAAAAUUGAAGGGAAUGAAAAGGAAUCCACUUCUUAGAGGACUGGAUGACAUGCUUAACAUAAAUUGAAACACCCUGGGAUGUUCCAAAACCAAGUCAGGAAGCACUGUCCUAGGGGGCAUUUAUUUUGUCUUCCUGCUCCAUGUCUGUUCCCUGUAUAAACAGAUUAUACAAAUAGGCCAAGGCAUUGCUAGGCUAAUGGCUUUCUCUGUUGUCUCAAGACUUUUAAACAAAUGUGUUUCCUAUUUACAGUCACUGGACUUCAAAAACAAACACAGUUCAACACCAACCUGGUUUCACUUAGUUUUAGCAACUUAAAAUGAAAACUUGGCGUUUGUGGCGGGGUCAGUGGUGGCUUGUGGCAGUUCAGGAACCCCCUUCUGAAAAGCCAUUUUCCCUGGGUAGAGAGCCCAGGAGUUGCUCUAUGCUAGAUGGAGGGAAGUAUUAGUUCUGUGUCCUUAGGUCUGGGAACUGAGUGCCAAAGCUGGGCUUGAGAGACUUCCUACUUUCUUGGCUCCUUCCCUCCCACAAGAUUAAUUGAAAUGGAAUCUAAUCCAAUUCCACAAGCAUUUGUUAGGUUGCUUCCUGACAUCAUAUCAGUCAGUGGUCAUCAGAGACUCCUUGGUAGCCAAAGCUCUUCUGUGGACUAAACUUCUUUAAAAAAAAAUUAAAAUUUUAUUUAUGCUCUCACUUUUAAAAACCAUAGCUGUCACUGACUGACUGCUCUGGGGUCUUAAUCUGGGGGUCUCUGGAUAGAUUUCAAGGACUUGUGAACUUGGAUGGGGAAAAAAAAUCACAUCCUUAUUUUCACUAACUUCUAGUUGAAUUUGUAUUUGCAAUUGAAAUGCAUUGAAAAUGCAUUUCCUUUUUAAUGAAUGUAGGCAAUAAAAUUAUUCUGAGGGGAAGGUCUAUUGGCUUUGGCAUACUGACUGAGAUGUCAAUGAUAUAUAAAAGGUUAAGAGCCAAAGCCUAAUGACUCAUUCUCCCCUGUUCAAGUCCAUGUUCCCCAUCCUCCCCAGGACAUUUAAAUAAAAUAAAUCAACAUGUGAGGGCAGCUAAGUGGUGCAGUGGAUAGAACCUUGGGCUUGGAAUCAGAAAUGCACAUCUUUCUGAGUUCAAAUCUGGCUUCAGACACUUACUAGCUGUGUGACCCUAGGAAAGUCACUUAACCCUGUUUACCUCAGUAUCUCAUCUGUAAAAUGAGCUGGAGAAGGACAUAGCCAACCACUCCAGUGUCUUUGCCAAGAAAACCUCAAAUGGUGUCACAAAGAAUCAGGCACAAUUGAAAUCAACAUGUUGGCUCAUUAGUUUAAAUUAUUUUCUAAUUUCUAAGGCUUUGCAAGCCUUAAAUUGCUUAUGUAAAUGUUCACAAAGGUUACUGUUAUAAGAGGUUAAAAUCAUCAGAUGAAGAUUGCAAAAAUCAAAUGAAAAAGUGGCACAACUUUAAAAGGCUGUCUGUCACAGCUCUAAGAACAUGGCCACUCCUGCCUGUCACACUAAGUGUUGAGCAUCCUUCCUCUGUCACAGGAUAAUUGAGCCUUCAACUGUAAUCUCUGCUAGUUUAAGAGACCAAAGUUGAAAAGCACAGCCAGAGGGAUGAGAAAGAAAAUAGGAAGUCUGACCAAUCACAUAUUUUAGAAAUAAUUUAGUUAGUCCAGCACCUCUUUGUUGAGAAGCCAGAGGCAUGCUUCACUGACAACUUAGAACCAACUUUGCUCUUGGUGACUCUUUCCUCUCUAAAACCAGCUUCCCUUUUAAUAUUCUCCAUAUGUCUACAUGCUCCAAGAAGGCUUCGUUAGGCUCAGUGACAUUGUGAAAACUAAGCAAGCCAGGAGUUCAGAUAAGAGUAGGAAAGGGAAGCUCUUCUUAUGGCUGUGGUACCCAGAAAUUGUUCCUUCUCUCUCUGGACUUUAAUUUACUUCUUAAAAACCCUUACCAGAAUGAAUACUGUGUAUUGGUUCCAAGGCAGAAGAAUGGUAAGGGCUGGGAAAUGGGGGUUAAGUGACUUGCUCAAGGUCACAGAGCUAGUCUCUGUGGACUUUAAAAGGCUUCUGACUUGUAUGAGGGCUGAGUGGCCAUUUCUGUUGGUAACUUGGCUGCCGGAAGAGAAAAAGAUCAAGGUCCUUGGUUGGAUCUUCAUCUAUGCUCGGAGUCUCUCAGCACUUCAGCCUACAAUGAUCUCUCCAUGUUUUCAACUAUAGCAUUUACUGGAUAUUUAUUAUAUUUUUUGGACUAUAUCUUGGAUUUAUUUGGUAUAGGGAAUGUAUUAUCAUGAUGCAUAUCAACAUCACCUCCAUAAUUUAUUCUUAGAGAAUUACCUGGGGCAGAGAGGUCAAGUGACUUAAGACUUAUGCAGGUUCACACAGAGGUAGGACUUGAUACCAGGUCUUCCUAACUCCAAGGUCAACUCUAUCUUUUAUGUCAUGUUCUCAGAAAACAUUUAACACUCAUUUUCUAGUGGUGUUAUCUUUUCAUUUGCAUAUUUCUAAUUUCUCUAUCUAGACCAUAAGCUUCCUGAGAGCAGGGGCGAUGUGUCUCAUCCUUCUUUGUAUGCCCCUUUGUAUACCCCCUUGAAGAGAUAGUGUGGCAUAGUGUAAGUACCCUGAGGUGUUACAAAAGCAUAGUAGGACCAAAUUCUAAAAAAUACUAGACGUGUUUGAAUUUAGCCUUUGAUACUAGGUGUGUAGGCAGGGACAAGUUUGCCUCUUUGAGCUUCAAUUUAUCAUCUAGGAAAUGGGGAUAAUGAUAUAAAGUUGUUUGGGAGUAUCAAAUGAACCAAUAUAUGUAAAGUAUUUUGUGAACUUUAUAAAAUAUUGUAUAAAUGCCCUGCUAUAUGGCUAUGGAUAAGUUCUCGGACAUCUCCAUAUCCUAGACAGUUCUCUUAAUACUAACUGUGGAGGGAAUGUCCAUACUGGAAAUUCCUUUCCACGAUGAAAUCCUAGGUUUGGUUCUUUCCAUUUCCUACAAAGCCCCUGCCACAUGUAAACCUCAAAUUUCCUUAGACUUAUAAAUGUUGGAAAUUUCACCAUUGGGAUAUUUCAUACUUGGAA
This is a non-coding RNA of Monodelphis domestica (gray short-tailed opossum), 9070 nucleotides long. NCBI's taxonomy places the organism in Eukaryota, Metazoa, Chordata, Mammalia, Didelphimorphia, Didelphidae. The record is from RefSeq and is a predicted model, not a curated record.